AACGAACGCUGGCGGCAUGCCUAACACAUGCAAGUCGAACGAGAUCCUUCGGGGUCUAGUGGCGCACGGGUGCGUAACGCGUGGGAAUCUGCCCUUAGGUUCGGAAUAACAGUUAGAAAUGACUGCUAAUACCGGAUGAUGACGUUAAGUCCAAAGAUUUAUCGCCUGAGGAUGAGCCCGCGUAGGAUUAGCUAGUUGGUGUGGUAAAGGCGCACCAAGGCGACGAUCCUUAGCUGGUCUGAGAGGAUGAUCAGCCACACUGGGACUGAGACACGGCCCAGACUCCUACGGGAGGCAGCAGUGGGGAAUAUUGGACAAUGGGCGCAAGCCUGAUCCAGCAAUGCCGCGUGAGUGAUGAAGGCCUUAGGGUUGUAAAGCUCUUUUACCCGAGAUGAUAAUGACAGUAUCGGGAGAAUAAGCCCCGACUAACUCCGUG
RNAcentral lists this ribosomal RNA (436 nucleotides) under uncultured bacterium. RNAcentral describes it as "partial 16S ribosomal RNA". It matches the Rfam family "Bacterial small subunit ribosomal RNA", at positions 29 to 507 of the family's 1533-position model. The record is from RNAcentral.